GGAGUGGGUACGUAUCCUCGUAUACUCCCAAAAUCGAAAAAACAUCUUACCACGCUCUUGGUGUUUUUGACUUAUCAAAACAUCCUCACCCGUAAAAUCGGUGCGAGGUCUUCGGAAAUUAGUCAGCAGUUUAGGAGAAGCAACCUUUAGCAUCGCGAGAUGUCGCAAAAAAUGCCUCAAAGGUUAUUUCUUCCGAACAAACAAAACCUCCGUCACAAAAAGACAUAUAUAUGCACACAUUAACACUUAUUUUGCGCAAAAACUCGAAACAACAGCACGUACCACCAAGUCCGAUGCUGAUCACAUCGAACUCACAAACGUCCUAAACAGACAUAGCCAUCUCACGAAGAUGACUCUCUUACAUCUGACACAAGGAUAAUAGCGCUAUAAAAUAAAUCCGAAAUUUUGGUCCAGCACUUCCGGUCUCCGGAGAGAUGCUCGAUUCAUAUCAAACAAGUCGUAUAAGCCGAGAACCUAUCUCGGACUUUAAAUCGAUACGAAUCAGGAAGAAAUCGCAACAGGAAAAACGAUAGCCGGCUAGUCACCGCACAAUCCUUAAACCAAAAGUAAACCUAGGUCUUGCCCUAAACCCUGCGCACUGGUCUCUAACAUCUCAAGGCAUGAUAUCGAAAGAUAAGAGAUUCCUAAACCAUGCCUCUAUGUUUAUAUUUGACAUCUUCAGCGCCCCCACAGAGCUCACAUCUCGCGGAAGAACUCUCGAAACAGAUCUCGAAUGAAACAUUUCACAAUCGAAGAAGGAUAUGAGACGACAACUCAUCACCUUCCUCCCCACUAUACACAAACUCAUAAAAGUGCCAUUUGAUUAUCUUAUCAUAAACAGCCGCAGAGCGGCAGGGAUUCAAAGCCACACACGGCCAGUCCUGAAAUACAAAACAAGGCCAUUCAAGGCCGAAACAUAAAAACAUAAAAAAAAAAAAUUCUCGCAAGAGAUCUAACCCAAGUCAUCCUCAGAACUCCCCCCUCUUCACCCAACGCCUCGUCCGAGCCUGGAGCCGCAUCACCUCCGUUUUCUCCAACCAUCGGGUCUUUCCCCUCUGGGUCUUCUGAACACGUCGGAAGGAAGCAUGCGGAUUUCAGGUCAGCCAGGAUGAGAUCGAAAUCUCCAUCCACCGCCGCCAUAUCUCCCUUACAACCGGACAGUCGGGCCUCUUCGGCCUCCAAGGUCGGGGGAGUCUCACUUUGGAAUGACCAAACCACGGCCAUCCCGCCCUCAAUCGUCGCCAAAACUAGGUCCCUGCUCCGGAUACACUCGAGAGAACCCAGGGAAGCAGAAAUCUUCGCCAAGCGAGCCUGAAACUCUGCGCGAAGAGCAUCCGUGGCCUCUUGGAUCCCGCGGCUCGGCAGUCCAGCAUCACCCUCGAUCUGACGCUGAAGCUGACGCACCUCCGAGGAUUUGGCCUUCCUGGCCUUUUUCUCCUUAAGCAGGGAACUCGUCGUCUUUCCAAGAUCCCUCUCAAGCUCCCCUAUCACGACCUCGAGCCUCG
This 1505-nucleotide long non-coding RNA is filed under the name Brassica rapa (field mustard). Its description in RNAcentral is "long non-coding RNA (BRAP_LNC006884)". The record is from RNAcentral. Lineage: Eukaryota; Viridiplantae; Streptophyta; Magnoliopsida; Brassicales; Brassicaceae.